Molecule: RNA transcript, 1731 nt
Organism: Malania oleifera
Lineage: Eukaryota; Viridiplantae; Streptophyta; Magnoliopsida; Santalales; Ximeniaceae
Gene name: lipid droplet phospholipase 1
Exons: 11
Source: RefSeq, a predicted model, not a curated record
GGCCACGUUUUUUUUUGUAACCGGAUCUCACCGCAUAGGAUUAUUAGUUUAUUACGAUAAAACUGCUCUACGAUUCGUUCGCCAGUCGCAACGCGUGAAGCUGCCUUCGGAUUUCAUACACUCAAUACGUUCCUUAUACUCGUACAGAACUCUCAUUUCACACUCAAUUCGAUCUCCCAUUCUCUCAGCUUUCUCACUGUUUUCUCUCUCGUUUUCUCGAGAAUCGAAGAGCAGGAAGAUCAGUUUAUCUUGUCUUCUUUGCUGCUGCCUUUCGAUUUUACAGUGUUUUCACUUAAUGCCGUGUGGUUGGUGAGCAUGGAGAACUGCACGGUUGAGAACGAAGUGUGCUCGUCGGAGUCUGUCAAAGGAGGGACCAACGUACAGAGCUGUAAGGAUUCUGAUUUGUCUUCUGCUGAUCAUCUUGUCGUCAUGGUCAACGGGAUCCUCGGAAGCGUCACAGAUUGGAAGUUUGCAGCUGAGCAGUUCGUCAGAAUGCUUCCUGAUAAAGUGUUUGUUCAUUGUAGUGAACGAAAUGUGGCUUCGCUGACAUUGGAUGGUGUGGAUGUGAUGGGUGAACGAUUAGCAGAAGAGGUACUUGAAGUGAUUAAACAAAGGCCAAAUAUCAGUAAAAUUUCCUUUAUUGCACAUUCUGUGGGAGGUUUGGUGGCAAGAUAUGCGAUUGGGAGAUUGUAUAGACCUCCUACUAAAGGAAAAGCAGAGGAUUCAUUGGCUAAUACAUGUGAAGAGGAUUCAAGGGGUACGAUCUGUGGUUUGGAGGCAAUGAACUUCAUUACUGUUGCUACACCUCAUCUUGGUUCGAGGGGUAAUAAACAGGUACCCUUCCUUCUUGGUGUAAAUGUCUUUGAGAAAGCAGCAAGUCGUGUUAUUCAUUGGAUAUUUAGGAGAACAGGCCGACAUCUUUUUCUUACAGAUGGCGAUGAAGGAAAGCCACCACUGCUUCGGUGCAUGGUGGAGGAUUAUGGUGAAUAUUAUUUCAUGUCUGCAUUACGGAUGUUCAAACGUCGGGUGGUAUAUUCAAAUGUUGGAUAUGACCAUAUUGUUGGUUGGAGAACAUCAUCGAUUAGACGUAAUAGUGAACUGCCAAAGUGGGAAGAUUCUCUUCAUGAAAAAUAUCCACACAUUGUUUAUGAAGAACACUGCAAGGCAAGUGAUGCUGAGGAGAGUGAGCCAAUAUUGAUGGCAGAGGAGGGCUCUGACAAGCUAGAAGAGGAGCUGAUUACAGGACUAUCCCGUGUGUCAUGGGAAAAAGUAGAUGUCAGCUUCCAUAGUUGCAGGCAGAAGUUUGCUGCUCAUAGUGUCAUCCAGGUGAAAGAUCACAUCAUCCAUGCGGAAGGUGCAGAUGUUAUUUGCCAUAUAAUCGAUCAUUUUCUUGCAUAGAAGAAGAAGACCAUUGACUCCUUUCUUUAAUGCUGUCCACCUGUGAAAUAUUUCCAAGUUGCAGGUUGGAGGCAGUAAGGUUCUAAAUAACAAGCUCAUCCAUGAAAAAUGAUAUAAAAUGAAAAUUUGUUUAUUCAUUGUGUUCUCGUGUACAUGAACAUUCGACCUCUACUAAUAAAUUGCAAAAUGUUCAUAAAUCCCAGAGGUUGAAUGAAGUCUCAACCUGGCUCUGCUCUGCAUCCUUUUUUGUUUGUUAUGGUACUGUGGUUGCAUGCUUGCAUGUUACCAAAAGAGUGGUUCCUAAUAAAAAAAAUUUUCCCUUCCUCUGCGUUA